GACGAACCGUCCUAACGUUAUUCGGAAUUACUGGGCUUAAAGGGUGCGUAGGCGGCGCGGAAAGUUGGGUGUGAAAUCCCUCGGCUUAACCGAGGAACUGCGCCCAAAACUACCGUGCUUGAGGGAGAUAGAGGUGAGCGGAACUUAGGGUGGAGCGGUGAAAUGCGUUGAUAUCCUAAGGAACACCGGUGGCGAAAGCGGCUCACUGGAUCUCUUCUGACGCUGAGGCACGAAAGCUAGGGUAGCAAACGGG
RNAcentral lists this ribosomal RNA (253 nucleotides) under uncultured bacterium. Its description in RNAcentral is "partial 16S ribosomal RNA". It matches the Rfam family "Bacterial small subunit ribosomal RNA", at positions 524 to 776 of the family's 1533-position model. The record is from RNAcentral.